AUUAGAUCAAAAUAAAAUUGAACAAAACUAAAUAAAGUCGAACACAAAAGACAAAAGUGAAUAAUCAAAAUUAGAACAAAAUAGAAUAAAAUAAAAAGUUAUAAAACCUAAUUAUAUAAAUAAAUAGGAUUUGAAGCCAUAUUUGACCAGAUAUUCUAAAAGGCCUUGGCUAAUCCUAUUUAUACUUUUUUCUACCACCUUAGAGUUUCUAGAAUGUUCCUAGAUGA
RNAcentral lists this long non-coding RNA (227 nucleotides) under Physcomitrium patens. Its description in RNAcentral is "long non-coding RNA (PPAT_LNC014648)". The record is from RNAcentral. Lineage: Eukaryota; Viridiplantae; Streptophyta; Bryopsida; Funariales; Funariaceae.